UCCAACCAUGUAAAAAUGUAAUACCUUAUCAUGAGUGGGCGAUGAGGAUUGCAAUGACUUUAAAAAACAGGAUAUGAAUUUCGCAUUUUUUGGUUUCCUUGUCUCUGAGCCUCAGGUUUUAUUUUCAUGAUAUUGGUGAGAUAUGUGAUGUUUUUGAGUUUGGUGAGACGUGUGGUUAUAUAAGAUAUACGAUGGCGUUUUUCGGUAAGAUAAUAGUCCCAUUUAUUAAAAUAAAAUUUAAAGGAGAUGUCAACUUAGCAUAUUCUAAAAAUAUUCUUUACGAAAUUUUGGGGUUACAAAGGUCAAUACAUGAUGUUAUAAUGUAUAGGGUUAGACCAAAACAUAAUAAAAGGAAAGAGUCCAAACAACCUUUAUAAGUAGAUUUAUCAAGACUGCUUCUCUUUUAAUAGAAUAGAUUCCUACGACGGCUGUGCUCUCCGGCGGUGUUGCGCCCAUAGUGUUACUGUCGAAAAAGGUUUGUAUGGUUUAUUUUUGUUUUAACUUAAUUUUUUUUGCUCCAAAUCUUAAGUUCCACCUUUUUGCUUAGCCUUUUCUUAGUAAAUCUGAAAUUUUGUAUACUUCUUUUCUUUUUUUGGUGUUGGGUUUCUGAUGUUCGAUAUGUGCUCAGAUAUACUUUUCUCUCGUUUUAGAUCUACUCGGUUGGAGUGAUUCCGAAAGUGGUGGGGUCUCUGGUUUUCUCUUGAUCCGGUAGGGUUUGUGGUUCGUUUUGGAACCACCUACUGGUCUGGGCCUUAGUCUUGGAGGAAUAUGACGCUCUUGGUCUAGCUGCAUAAGAAGUGGUUUCCUGUCACUGUCUUGCCUCGUUUCUGUAGGAGAAAUCGGGUUAAUUCUUUUGUUGAGUGGUUCAAGAUUACGGUGGUUAUGUGGCUCAUCGAGGAAGUGGUUUUCUGUUGGUGUAGUUGUAGAAGCGAACCCUGUUCUUCUUAUCUUUCGCAUUAGAGUAGGCGGGGAU
This 973-nucleotide long non-coding RNA is filed under the name Brassica napus (rape). RNAcentral describes it as "long non-coding RNA (BNAP_LNC015625)". The record is from RNAcentral. Lineage: Eukaryota; Viridiplantae; Streptophyta; Magnoliopsida; Brassicales; Brassicaceae.